Helianthus annuus (common sunflower) is the source of this 274-nucleotide long non-coding RNA. RefSeq lists it as uncharacterized. The record is from RefSeq and is a predicted model, not a curated record. The transcript has 3 exons. NCBI's taxonomy places the organism in Eukaryota, Viridiplantae, Streptophyta, Magnoliopsida, Asterales, Asteraceae.
CAAAUCAAAUGCUAGUGUCUAAAUACUCACUAAUCCCAGUGUUUUGAGCAUAAGGAUCGAAAGAAGAAGGAGCUAGUUCCGGAUCACAAACAAAGGCACAAGAUCGAGGUAAAGCACCCGUAUGAUUGUCAUUGCGUCGCUCGGAUACGAACACACCAUGAUCACCCGUGAUGCGCUUCCGCAACUUUUGUAGUAACCUAGUAACCUUAUUAGUUAAAGGCUUUUGUUAAAGUUAGUAGUGUUGAAGUUUUAAGUUUUAACUAGAUGUUUGUGA